RNAcentral lists this ribosomal RNA (490 nucleotides) under uncultured bacterium. RNAcentral describes it as "bacterial SSU rRNA". It matches the Rfam family "Bacterial small subunit ribosomal RNA", at positions 28 to 473 of the family's 1533-position model. The record is from RNAcentral.
GAUGAACGCUGGCGGCGUGCCUAAUACAUGCAAGUCGAACGCAUUGUGGUUGAAAUGAUAUGAAGAACUUGUUCAGAUUUGAUUUUCAACAUUGCAAUGAGUGGCGAACGGGUGAGUAACACGUGGGAAACCUACCUCUUAGCAGGGGAUAACAUUUGGAAACAAAUGCUAAUACCGUAUAAUAAUUAAAACCGCAUGGUUUUAGUUUAAAAGAUGGUCUUGCUAUCACUAAGAGAUGGUCCCGCGGUGUAUUAGUUAGUUGGUGAGGUAAUGGCUCACCAAGACAAUGAUACAUAGCCGAGUUGAGAGACUGACCGGCCACAAUGGGACUGAGACACGGCCCAUACUCCUACGGGAGGCAGCAGUAGGAAGUCUUCCACAAUGGACGAAAGUCUGAUGGAGCAACGCCGCGUGUGUGAUGAAGGGUUUCGGCUCGUAAACACUGUUGUAAGAGAAGAAUGACAUUGAGAGUAACUGUUCAAUGUGUGAC